GUAGGGAAUCUUGCACAAUGGGCGAAAGCCUGAUGCAGCGACGCCGCGUGCGGGAUGACGGCCCUCGGGUUGUAAACCGCUUUCAGCAGGGACGAAAUUGACGGUACCUGCAGAAGAAGCCCCGGCCAACUACGUGCCAGCAGCCGCGGUAAUACGUAGGGGGCAAGCGUUGUCCGGAUUUAUUGGGCGUAAAGAGCUCGUAGGCGGUUCGACAAGUCGGAUGUGAAAUCUCCACGCUCAACGUGGAGGGGCCAUUCGAAACUGUCGUGACUUGAGUCCGGUAGGGGAGUGUGGAAUUCCCGGUGUAGCGGUGAAAUGCGCAGAGAUCGGGAGGAACACCCGUAGCGAAGGCGGCACUCUGGGCCGUGACUGACGCUGAGGAGCGAAAGCGUGGGGAGCAAACAGGAUUAGAAACCCGGGUAGUCC
This 426-nucleotide ribosomal RNA is filed under the name uncultured bacterium. RNAcentral's name for it is "bacterial SSU rRNA". It matches the Rfam family "Bacterial small subunit ribosomal RNA", at positions 354 to 796 of the family's 1533-position model. The record is from RNAcentral.